RNAcentral lists this non-coding RNA (66 nucleotides) under unclassified sequences. RNAcentral describes it as "S15-Flavobacteria ribosomal protein leader". It matches the Rfam family "S15-Flavobacteria ribosomal protein leader". The record is from RNAcentral.
UACCUUUGCCCCGUCAGUGAAAAGUUCACUUGACUACAUAAUAAUUAUUUUAACAAUAUUGGAAUG